Molecule: ribosomal RNA, 425 nt
Filed under: uncultured bacterium
Lineage: Bacteria
Description: bacterial SSU rRNA
Rfam family: Bacterial small subunit ribosomal RNA
Source: RNAcentral
UCGAGAAUUUUUCUCAAUGGGCGCAAGCCUGAAGGAGCGACGCCGCGUGGGGGAUGAAGGGUUUCGAUCCGUAAACCCCUGUCAUUUGUGAACAAUGGUUAUCAUUUAAAAGAUGAUGACUUGAUAGUAAUGAAAGAGGAAGGGACGGCUAACUCUGUGCCAGCAGCCGCGGUAAUACAGAGGUCCCGAGCGUUGUUCGGAUUCACUGGGCGUAAAGGGUGCGUAGGUGGCCUAAAAAGUUUGAUGUGAAAGCUCAGGGCUUAACCCUGAAAUGGCAUUGAAUACUGUUGGGCUGGAGGUUUGGAGGGGGGACUGGAAUUCUUGGUGUAGCAGUGAAAUGCGUAGAUAUCAAGAGGAACACCAGUGGCGAAGGCGAGUCCCUGGACAACACCUGACACUGAGGCACGAAAGCUAGGGGAGCAAAC